UCCUGGUUUCCCAGGCAGUCCCAUCAGAGUGCUCUCCUUACGGAGUAGCAACUGAUAGCAAGGGUUGCGCUCGUUAGAGGACUUAACCCAACAUCUCACGACACGAGCUGACGACAGCCAUGCAGCACCUGUGCAUACGUCCGAACCGAAGCCCGGAAGAUCGUGUUUCCACGACUGUCAUAUGCAUGUCAAGCCUAGGUAAGGUUCCUCGCGUAGUAUCGAAUUAAACCACAUGUUCCACCGCUUGUGCGAGCCCCCGUCAAUUCCUUUGAGUUUUAAUCUUGCGACCGUACUCCCCAGGCGGCGAACUUCACGCGUUAGCUGCGGUACUAAGGAAGUCUCCUUCCCCAACACCUAGUUCGCAUCGUUUAGGGCGUGGACUAC
Molecule: unclassified non-coding RNA, 384 nt
Filed under: uncultured bacterium
Lineage: Bacteria
Description: contains 16S-23S intergenic spacer region
Source: RNAcentral